AUUGAACGCUGGCGGCGUGCUUAACACAUGCAAGUCGUGCGGUAACAGGCGUAGCAAUACGUGCUGACGAGCGGCGAACGGGUGCGUAAUACAUGGGAAUCUGCCCUUUAGUGGGGAAUAACCCGGCGAAAGCCGGGCUAAUGCCGCAUAAGAUCUUCGGAUGAAAGCGGGGGAUCGUAAGACCUCGCGCUGAUGGAUGAGCCCAUGUCGGAUUAGCAGUUGGUGAGGUAACGGCUCACCAAGGCGACGAUCCGUAGCUGGUCUGAGAGGACGGCCAGCCACACUGGGACUGAGACACGGCCCAGACUCCUACGGGAGGCAGCAGUGGGGAAUAUUGGACAAUGGGCGAAAGCCUGAUCCAGCGACGCCGCGUGUG
RNAcentral lists this ribosomal RNA (376 nucleotides) under uncultured bacterium. Its description in RNAcentral is "bacterial SSU rRNA". It matches the Rfam family "Bacterial small subunit ribosomal RNA", at positions 30 to 405 of the family's 1533-position model. The record is from RNAcentral.